GUGGCAAAAGUCUUCCCUACGGUCUGCAAAGAUAAAGCCAGUGGUUUCACAAUGUUCUUAUUCCGGGUCAGGUCCUGAGCGCCGCUUACGCUGACUGCAGAAUUAGCUGGACUGAGAACUGCUGGGUACCUGAUUCAGCAAAUCAGUGCUGCUCAAAGAAUACAAAAGAAUGAAAUGGUCCCUGUUGGUUUGGAGCAGUAACUCUCAGGGCCUAACUGAAUCACCAGGGAGACGCUCAGGUCCACUGGAAAACAGCAGUGAGCAAAAGGACACACAGCACAAAGCUGCGGCAAACCCAAGACAGCCCAGCAGGAGUCUCACCUCUUCCCACCACUUCGAGGACAGAAAUCCAGAUACGGAUGGACCUGGCAUUAUGAACUCAGACGCAAAGAAAUCACGGAAGCAGCUCACCGUCUGCCGGACGUGGUCGGAGUUGUGCUGCUGUGUGCUCACUGCAGUGGGAUGGCACCUCAGGAACUUCCUGGGUUUUGUGUGUUUGGUUUUCUUAUGCUUUACAGUGUGCAUCUGUGUCAAAGGUGUAUGCGUCUUACUUUGUUGAAUUUACAAAUGAACCCAACAUGUGAAGGUUCUCCUGGAACAGAACUCAUUCAGCAGCUGGAGACUUACUGUACUUUUGAAAUGAAUGUCAGACAUUAUUGAUUUUCCCUUGUUGGGUGUUGGCUAGUUUUCCAACCUUAAGACUAUUCUUAAACUUGGAUUGGCAGUCAUUUAAACUGAUUCUGAAACAUUUUGAACAGAAAAAGCCAUUCACAAAGCACUUUGAUAUCAUUUCAUUUCUAUAACAUUAAAAAAGGCA
Cavia porcellus (domestic guinea pig) is the source of this 817-nucleotide long non-coding RNA. RefSeq lists it as uncharacterized. Lineage: Eukaryota; Metazoa; Chordata; Mammalia; Rodentia; Caviidae. The record is from RefSeq and is a predicted model, not a curated record. The transcript has 3 exons.